GCCAAGGUGCGAAGUGGAAGUGCUGACAGUCCUGUGACUGCUGCUUCCUCAACUGCUCAGUCAGUCCCUGUCCCCCUGCCUGGGAAGAACCCCACAGGCCUGCCUGUAGGCCAAAGCAACUCAGCUUCCCUGCCGGCUUCCAGCACUCACGCUCCAACACAUGGCACAGUUGUGCCCCUACAAAGGACCUCCUCAGCUCCACUGCAGCCUGGCUGGCAUCAUGGAGAUGUGGGCAAGGACAUCCGUGAGAACACUGACACUCGUUGGCAAGAGCUCUUCAACAUCAAGUUGCAGAUUGUGCAGUACCUGAAAGCAGUCUUUGUAGUCUGUGUAGUAGCAGCCACCUUUUUCCUGAUACUUGUAUUGGUGCUGUGCUGCACAGCAGCCUGCUACUGCCUGAAGAAAGCCAUGGGGUGAGUCGUGACUUUUAUGCCCCCCACUGCUUCCCUCCAGGGCUGCUCAAAGCCACGAAGCAUUUCUAGUCAGAGUGCUGUGGAGCAGUCACUUGGUGAUUGGGCAGAACCUGCCAGCUGCAGAUGAGGACUUGAGCAGCCUCCUCUCUCUACAGGAAACGCUCUGCAGAUCCAGGACACAAGCUGGAAACAGGCAGCUUCCUUUCCAGUCUGAAGAACAAGAGGAGCUCCCCUGACACAGCUCAAAUCUCAGCCAAAGAGCAGAUGCCAGAGCAGCCAUUGAAGACAGCACAAGUGGAGCAUCCACCCAGCCCACUGGAGACAGUGGCAGAGGAGCAGCCACGCAGAUCACAGGAGCCAGUGCCACAAAGGCAUCCAUCCAGCACACUGGAGACAGUGGCAGAGGAGAAUCCAUGGAGAUUACGGGAGCCAGUGCCACAAAGGCGUCCACCCAGCUCACUGGAGACAGUGGCAGAGGAGAAUCCAUGGAGAUUACGGGAGCCAGUGCCACAAAGGCGUCCACCCAGCUCACUGGAGACAGUAGCAGAGGAGCAGCCACGCAGAUCACAGGAGCCAGUGCCACAAAGGCAUCCAUCCAGCACACUGGAGACAGUGGCAGAG
Molecule: long non-coding RNA, 1034 nt
Organism: Pogoniulus pusillus (Red-fronted tinkerbird)
Lineage: Eukaryota; Metazoa; Chordata; Aves; Piciformes; Lybiidae
Exons: 4
Source: RefSeq, a predicted model, not a curated record